RNAcentral lists this ribosomal RNA (429 nucleotides) under Coptotermes gestroi. RNAcentral describes it as "partial 16S ribosomal RNA". The record is from RNAcentral. Lineage: Eukaryota; Metazoa; Arthropoda; Insecta; Blattodea; Rhinotermitidae.
UUACGCUGUUAUCCCUAAGGUAAUUUAAUCUUAUAAUCAAAAUAAAUGGAUCAAACAAUUAUAAAUCAAUAUAACCAAAACUAAGAGGAGUUAAGUACAUUCCUCCCAUCACCCCAACAAAACAAAAAGCCCACUCACCAAAAAUAAACAAACAACAAACAAGUAAAUAAACCAAAUGUCAAACUCUAUAGGGUCUUCUCGUCCCACAAAAACAUCUAAGAAUUUUAACUCAAAGACCAAAUUCAAUAAAACAUUCAACACUAAGACAGCCCGUGCCUCGUCAAGCCAUUCAUUCCAGAUCACAAUUAAAGAACUAAUGAUUAUGCUACCUUUGCACGGUCAAAAUACCGCGGCCCUUCAACACCAAAUGUCAGCGGGCAGGCCAUACUUCAAAAACUAACAAGAAAAGAUGUUUUUGAUAAACAGGCG